CCUACGGGAGGCAGCAGUGGGGAAUAUUGCACAAUGGGCGAAAGCCUGAUGCAGCAACGCCGCGUGAAGGAAGAAGGGUUUCGGCUCGUAAACUUCUAUCAACAGGGACGAAAGAAAUGACGGUACCUGCAUAAUAAGCCCCGGCUAACUACGUGCCAGCAGCCGCGGGAAUACGUAGGGGGCAAGCGUUAUCCGGAAUGACUGGGUGUAAAGGGUGAGUAGGCGGCAUGGUAAGCCAGAUGUGAAAGCCUUGGGCUUAACCCGAGGAUUGCAUUUGGAACUAUCAAGCUAGAGGACAGGAGAGGAAAGCGGAAUUCCUAGGGUAGCGGUGAAAUGCGUAGAUAUUAGGAAGAACACCAGGGGCGAAGGCGGCUUUCUGGACUGAAACUGACGCGGAGGCACGAAAGCGUGGGGAGCGAACAGGAUUAGAUACCCGGGUAGUC
This 443-nucleotide ribosomal RNA is filed under the name uncultured bacterium. Its description in RNAcentral is "partial 16S ribosomal RNA". It matches the Rfam family "Bacterial small subunit ribosomal RNA", at positions 338 to 795 of the family's 1533-position model. The record is from RNAcentral.